This is a long non-coding RNA of Lagopus muta (rock ptarmigan), 7735 nucleotides long. RefSeq lists it as uncharacterized. The record is from RefSeq and is a predicted model, not a curated record. NCBI's taxonomy places the organism in Eukaryota, Metazoa, Chordata, Aves, Galliformes, Phasianidae. The transcript is spliced from 2 exons.
UAGACAGGGAAAUGAAACUGCAACCAGACAUUUUGCACUGCUGUUGUGUUCUCUGCUCCACACACUGAAGUGUCAACAAACCUCACCUUCAAUCUGGUGAUGGAAGAGGGAACUAAAUUCAACAAACAAAAGCUGUAGUGAUUUGUUGGAGGGGGAAAUGAAGUGUUUGUCUUCCUCUGCUGACAAAGUGGUUCUGUGUUUCAGAACUCCUUGGUACUCAUAUAAAUACAUUAAUAGAGCAUGUACAUUGAGGUCUAUUUCACCAUUUAUUCAUAGUAUGAUAUUUGUGAAUAUGCCCUUCUGAUACUCAAGAAUCUCUGUUCUUCCUUCAAAUGAAAUCUGUAUCGUGGAAUCUGGGAAAAUACUUUGCCUUACAGCAGAUUAUAACCAUAAAUUCUGGUUUUUCUAUUUCUGCUGCAACUUUUCCUGUUGCAAAAUGUAACAAUGGUUACAAGUCCAUUAACUUAUCAUGAGAAGAAGUGGCAGCAGAACAGUUUUAUAGCUGUCUUAAUUGGACAUUACAGAUGUGCAGACUGCUUUCUACCAGCAGAGCAAUGUUGAGAAGGGCAGAUGUGGUUCAGACUUCACAACUGGCUAAGUUAAUAUGAAAGUAUCACUUGUCCUUUACUCCUGGAGGGUACUUAAAGCACAGAGAUCUUUUCUGUUCUUGAACUUCUUGGGUACAAAAUCAUACUUUCUCUGAUCUAGCAGGUGGCAAUUCACAGGGGGGCUGAAACUAGAUCAUCCAAGCCAAGCCAUUCUACGAUUCUAUGACUCCCUAUUGCAAGAUCAUUCUCAACAAGAGGCUUGAAUUGCUUUGUUUUCUUUACUGUUGUGUUGCCUCACCAACUAUGAAUACAUGCCUAUUGGCAUUCUGUUUAGUCAUACAGCAUAUAACAAGGCUGUCCUCUCAUGGUCUUUCUUCAUUCCAGAUGAUAAUUUUUAAUUAUUGAAUAAUUCACUAAAGGCCAUUUAGUCUUAGCUUUUCAACUCCAGAUCCUCCUUUUAUUUUUCUCUUCUUCUCUUUCCCCAUUACCAAGAGACAGGACUGAAGCAUGAAGGUGGUAAUUACCCACACAGCUGAUUUUGGACUGUUACUAUGCUACCAGAAAAACAUGCUGGGAGAAGCCAUCAUCCAUCAUGAAUGGAUUUUCCUGUAAAUGGAAUACACUUGUUUAAUAGUGAUCUUUUUGAGACUCAAUGGGACUCACUUUAAACAAUAACAAAAUCACAAAAUCACAGACUUCUAGGAGUUGGAAAGACCUCUGGAGAUCAUUGGUUCCAACCCCUUCUGCUAAAGCAGAUGCCUACAGCAGGUUGCACGGGAAAGUGUCCAGGUGGGUUUUGUAUAUCUCCAGAGAAAGAGACCAGACAACCUCUCUGGGCAGCCUGUGUCAGGGCUCCAACACCCUCACAGUAAAGAAGUUCUUCCUCAUGUACAUAUGGAACUUCCUGUGUUCCAUUUUUUGCCCAUUGCCCUAGUCCUGCCACUGGGCACUGCUGAAAGAGACUGGCCACAUCCAAUUGAAUCCUGCCCUUCAGAUACUUAUCAGCGGUGAUGAGAUCCUUUUCAGUCUUCUCCAGGCUGGAUAGUCUCUCAGCCUUUCUUCUUAAGGGAGAUGCUCCAAGCCCCUAAUACUCUUUAUGGCCUUUCACUGGACUCUCUCAAGAAGAUCCCUGUCUGUCUUAAAUGACGAGUCCAGAACUGGAUGCAGUAAUCCAGAUGUAGCCUCACCAUAGCAGAGCAGAUGGGGAGAACCAUCUCCCUCAAUCCGUUGUCCACAUUUUUUAAUGAACUCCAACUUUUAGAGUCCUACUGGUCUCACUAUCAUUCUGGUAAUGAGGAAGAUCUCUGGGGUGAAAAUAUUGGACUCAGAUAAUGCUUUGGUAUCAUUCAGCAGCACUCAUCCUUCCACCUCUGUCUUGAACAACUGUGUGACUGGCCUUUCCUCACAGUAACAUACUAGACAGUGCAUAACCAAGUAGUCACCAACACAAAUUUUGCUCUCAGAGUUUCCUUGAACUUUAGUUUCAGCUAGACUAUGACUGGCACCAAAUCCAAGAAGAGGAGAAAAACAUGAUUUUUUCUCAUGUUUUUCUUCUCUUCUUGGAUUUCGUGCCAGUGUGUGGGGAUUGAUUAUAUAUUCAUAAAGCCACUAAUCACAGUUUCUUUUCUCUCUGAUUUUUGCUAGGCUUUCUCUGUCUACUUUCAGGACUUAUCUCUAUAUGGACACUAACAGCAGAUAAAUCAAGACUGCAGCUUCCUUCAUUUUUAGGAGUUUUGUUAAAAUGGACUUUCUCCCUCUGAUACGAGUAUCAGUUAAUAUCUCAAUCAAAUCUGGAUUUGUAGUUUAGACAGAAAAUGCAUAAAAUUUGCAUAGAAUAUUUUCCUAUGUCAUCUUUGUCACAGACAUUUUCUGUUACUUUUAGAUUUAUUUCAGAUUAUUGUUUACUUCACAAUCAUUAAUAAUUCACGGAAGUAAAGACUUCUGUUUGGUAUUGAUUUGUCAUAACUGGAAUAAUGAAAAUAAUUAUGUAUAUCUUAUCUCUGUUUCUUCAGUUUUGUAAAGUUCUGCUAAACUCAGUGUUCAAGCUCCAAUAUAUCAAUUUUACUUUGGGUCUUAUCAUUGAUGUCCUGACAUCAAUAAAGAUUUUUGUUUCCUAUGGUGCUUGAUUUCUUUGGCUAAGUAAUAAAAAGCAUGUGACAUCAAGAGCUUCCUACGUCCCUACCCUGCCUUGUAGUACAGUGCUUAUGUAAUGAAGAGUGAUUGCUUGCAAGUACAGAGAAAGAAAUCCUAAGUAUGUCUUUAUCUUCCAGUUGAUGGGUAUAGAAAAAACAAAUAACCAAACUGUCUGUCAGUCUCGUGAAGAUAAAGAGAACGUAACAGUCUGGAUGAAUUCAUCAGCAACAAAUGACAGUAAACUUGUCUGAUUUCCCCCUGUGAUCAAGUAACAGACAUCAUGAAGAGUCAAGCAGCCCUAUCUCUAUCUCUCUCUCUCUCUCUCUCUCUCUCUCUCUCUCUGAUAUAUUUUGACUUCUGUGAUAUUUUUUGAGGCUGUCUUUGACAACUGUUGCCUAGAUAUGUUUUGAUAACAUGCUACAGUUGCACAUACAAUACUUGCAAAACUCUAAAUAAUUAGACCAGAACAAAGUAAAAAUGAAAGGAUAUUUGUAUCAGAGGUUAUUGAAUUGUUCUGAGUCCAGUUUUUGAUUUUAACCAAUGACUCAGUUGUAGAAAAAGAAGGUAUCUAUUAAAUUUACACAUAUUAGAAAGCUGGCAGAAAUUAUAUAAGCACUAAGGGACAGGUUUUGACUUAUGUAUGAUCUUGAUAAAUUAGUUGUUUUGUAGAAAGACAGAUGAUAGUUCAAGAAGACAAGUGCAAAAUACUAAACUUCUAUGGCAAAGUGAUAGGUAAUGCAAAGACUGAGUAACAACAGCCAUGUACUUAAUCCUGUCGACGUCAGAUGAAGAUUAGUGGUAUGGGAACUUGGAAGCAAAAAUGUCUUAUCAGUGUUACUUCUUGUUCUGAAAAAAUGAUUGUCUUGCACUGGUCAGCUUAACGUAGAGUAACAUUCAGCAGCAGACCCUCUCAGAGAGAACAGGUUUCUACUGUCUGUGCAGAAAGGCUGAAGUUACCUUCUGGCUUUAACUGGGGACUGGAAUCACUUAUGCAUUUUCUUGCAUUGAUAUCACAAGAAAUUUCCCUCCUUAUGAUCUCUUGCACUGCCACCAGUUAAGUUGUAAGGAGCAAAGUCCACUGCUGUCAAAGGAUUUCCUUCAUGACAAUGAGACUUUAAAAAAAUCUUCCACUGCAAUUGAACUUACUUCAUAUUACUUUUGCUGAUUUGGUACGUUUUCAAGAGUUUAAAUGACAUAUGCUAGUCAGUUUCUCAGCUGGGUUAGCUUGAUUAACAUUUCCUCUUUCUUUUUUUUUUCUUCCCCAAAAACCUAUGCCAACACGUGCCAAAGCUGUGUUCCUUCGUCAUCUGAUGGUGAGCAUUCUUCAUACUACUGUAAUUACAACAUAAUCAGAUUUGUUAAAAUCAUAUUUCCAGAGGAAUAUUUCCAGCCACUACUGGGUCUGAAUCCAAUUUUCUGUCUUUUUUCACAAACUGACCUGUGUAAAACAUUUUUUAGUCUUCAUUUCCAGCUGCUGCUGCUGCUGCUGCAGGUGAAAAUGUUCGGCAACCUGCUGCCAAUUAACCCUAGCAAAUAAAGCCUCAUCUCCCCUCCUCCUUAGAAGGACAAAACCUGAAGUAGAGAGAGGGAUGGAUGGAAAGAGAGUAGACUGAGAGCAUUGUAGUAGUAUUCUUAUGAGAAGAGGCUUAGCUUACUGUAAAUUGAUAUAGUUGUCAUAGUUAAUGUUUGUGAAUCCCUUAGAAGCAACCUGUGAAUAGUAGGUAAACACUAUUACUUCAUUGAGUAAAAUUUUUUUUUUUUCUGUUAGUCAAAGAGGAAUCUUUUGAACUUGUUAACCAAGCUACUGGUUACUUUUUAGUGCACAUAAGAGUUUGUAGGCUGCCCUAUAAAAGGGCUCCUCUUAGAAGUGUAAGAUGAUUGGGCUUUAGAUUGGUUUUUUUUUUUUUUUUUUUUUUUUUUUUUUUUUUUUUUUUUUUUUUUUUCCUUUCUUUCAGUUACAAAGCAAUGACUGGAGUAUAAAAAUAACUGCAAUUUUUUUUUUUUUGUACUUCUGUGACUUGUUAAUGACUGAUAGUUGAGCUAUUUGGUUUUGUUUAUAAACUUUUACUAGAAACAAAGCUAGUACUUUACAUAUAUUAUAAGCCAUAAAUUUGAGGACCUGCUAGAAAAGAAUCUUUAAAAAGAAAAGAGGACACUCAUUCAGCCUUUAGAAGACUCUUAGUUGGAAUUGUUCUGAAGCUCAAUAAAAAUUAGGAUAGCAAAAGAGUUUUUUUUAUAAUCCACCAUCAACAAUUAACUGUGGGAAUUCAUAAUGAAUGUGUCCUAAAAUCUCCUGUUAGCUUUUCCUCUCUCACGAGUCAUCCCAUUUGUAAUUAAAAACAAACAAACAAAAAAACCUUUAAGUAGAUAAAAAGCAGUGGGGAAAAAAUUGUCUGAAACCAAAAUUCUUGGGACUCUAUACAGAAUAAGAUAUUUAAUGCAGACUUUAAAAUAUCUUUCCUAGCUCUAAGGACCACUGAAAAUGAAUAGGUCUCAGAGAAGAUCUCGGAUUUAAAUAAUAAUAUAAAAACAUUUCUUAGACUGUAAGGGAUGUCUUUAACAGGCAGCAGGGGAGAAGGGAGAAUCAACAUUUAAUUAGUAGAUAACCUUUUGUUUUCUAUGUAUUGGUUGCUAUUAGAAAGAAACACUCAAUAAACCUCAGUAAAUGAGAGUAAAUGUGGCUCUGAAUACUCUUCCCCUGACAAUGUGAUUAUUUUUUUAUUUUUUUUUUUACCUUGCUAUGGGGUAUAAAAAGUCAAUCUCAGGGAGUUGUAAUCUUCCCAUUAAAGACUGCAUGUGAAUUCCAAAAGAAAUUGAAUUGUUCUUUCUGGAAUGCUGUUAUGAGCUGAAACCAAUUAGAAGGUUUGAUAUCAUGUCUGAAAUUCUCAGUGUUUUAUAUACGUGGGAGUUCAUGAUGAAUAUUUGAAUGGGCGGUUUUUAAGAGGGUAAAAGAAUCUGUAAUAUGAAAGUUCUAUAGAUCAUUUUCAAGCUUACAGAACUUAGAAAGGUUCAGAUUGAAUAACAGCAAAUUUUCUUUUGGAUCGCUUCACUGAGCUUCUGGAUAGACUGUGGCAAGCCAAGCUCAACUGUGCCUAGAACUAAUUUUACAGAUUGGAAGAAAAGGAUUCUUCCAGGUUACAGAAGCCCUUCCUGAAAAGAUCUGAAGGCAACUAUAUGACCCUACAUCUACAGAUUGCUUUCUGCAGCAUCAAAAUGCACAAGAAUUACUUCGGUCAGCAUUCACUUGCAACUGAAGGCACGAUCAAGGACUUUCUGACGCAAUGGGAAGUCACAAUACUUGACUGGCAACACAAAUUCAGUAUAGUCUUGAAACAUACUUCAUUGGGAUUGUAUAGUUCUUCCAACAGUCAAAUAACUUCAAGAUACGGUGAUAUUACUUGAAGGGUUGCCUAUGUCACUGCUCCACCUCACAUUUUUUUCUGUCACCAUCCAUUUUCAUUGCUUUGCGUUAAUGGUAUACUUCAACUGCCACUUCUUUAUUUUCUUGCUGAAAUAAGAGAUAAUGCAUAAAUUCUAUGAAAAAGGAGUUCCUUUAUUUUUUUAAAAAAGGAUCAUUUUUUUCCAUUACCAAGUGAAAACUUGACAAAGUAUUUCUCUUCUAACAGUAUUUUAAUAUAAAAACUUCCUGUGGUCUUACUGUUCUAGCAGGAAAUCCUGUGGCACUGCAGGAAACUGAAGCCAGGUAGAUUCAGCCUCACUCCAGCAUCUGAUCGUCAUUUUGUCGUCUCACUGAAAAUAGUUCUGUGACCAUUUACCAGAAGCAAAGAAUUCUUACUGAUAAAACAGCUGAAGACUAACAGCGUUAUUUACAGCGAGAAUCUUUGUUUUAAAAAAAUUUAUUUUGAAAGUUAGAUACAAUCUUAAAAUUGUACAAAGACAACAAGCACUCAAAUUACACAAGAAGUUCGCAGUGAGUACAGUGUGAACACAACAGUGGUGAGUCUUGCCUCUCUUCAUAUGUAAAUACCAAUGGAGAUAACCCUUACCAAACUUCCUGCUUUUUUUUUUUCUCCUCCCCAAAACCCUUACGGUGCUGCAAAACUCAGUGGGGAGCACAUCACCGUUCAGUUCAACAGAAUUGAUUAAAAAGGGCUCUAACUAAAAACAGUCCUUCUAUCAUGAGAAUAUCCCAUACUUUGCAGAACCAAGUUUCUCUCAGUUGAAAAACCACUUUCCUUUUCAUUAUAUCCUGUGUUUCAUUCCCUGUAAGGACCUGCCAAAUUAAAGGCUUGAAAAAGCUCAAAAAUAUUAGAACUCACGUUUUUCAAGAACAUGCAAGCUGAAACUAAUAUGGUUUAUACAUGUAAUUCACAGAACAGAGAAUAUUCCUUUUGUCCAGUAUUUUACUCUUUGAAAGUGUUCUAAAAAAUGCAUUUCAGAGUCAUUUUAGCUGUGAAUUGGCUAAGCUAAUGUACACACAUGUACAUUCUUUUUGAAAUUACAUGUAAUUUCAAAUAUAUUACUAAAAAAUGCAGUGUUCCUGCAGAAAAACAAACAAAAAACCCCAUGGAGACUGUUAAACAACACAAUCACAGCCCCUGUUCCAGGAAUUUGUUAUUACUUAGUUUUAGAAAUACCAGGAAAUCUCUGCUGUAAAUCUUCCUUAAAAUCAAUAGUAAUUAAAAACAAGGUUAUUUUUGUCCAGCUAUAGCCACAACAGCAAAAUUAUGGUACAAACUUGACUGCUUGCAGGCCUUGACUCCAAGACUUAGUGGAACCAAUUUCAUUUCAAAAGAAAACAAUUGUAAAUGUCUUGUUUGUGAUUUGGGCUAUGUCCAUGAAUACAAACUUAUUAUUCUUUCUAGGUACCUGGAAGUGCUUUAUUUUUCCAUUGUUUUAACUUGCUGUAAGUAUCUGUUGCAAUGUUGAUUUCAUAAAGUUUCAAAAAACUUUUUUUUUAAGUUAUAAGAAUCCUCUUACAGAUUGCUGUGCGUUGGAAUUCAGCCAGUUCCAUUCAAAAUCCUGAUGGUCAACUUUUUGUUAUAAGUCUGUUACAGUUUACACUGAAAGGGAUCCUCACUAGGCUCAAAACC